UACGUAGGGUGCAAGCGUUGUCCGGAAUUAUUGGGCGUAAAGAGCUCGUAGGCGGUUCGUCGCGUCGGCUGUGAAAACCCGGAGCUCAACUCCGGGCCUGCAGUCGAUACGGGCGGACUUGAGUGUUGCAGGGGAGACUGGAAUUCCUGGUGUAGCGGUGAAAUGCGCAGAUAUCAGGAGGAACACCAGCGGCGAAGGCGGCGCUCUGGGCCGGUACUGACGCUGAGGAGCGAAAGCGUGGGUAGCAAACAGG
This 253-nucleotide ribosomal RNA is filed under the name uncultured bacterium. RNAcentral describes it as "partial 16S ribosomal RNA". It matches the Rfam family "Bacterial small subunit ribosomal RNA", at positions 524 to 776 of the family's 1533-position model. The record is from RNAcentral.